Molecule: non-coding RNA, 28 nt
Filed under: Rattus norvegicus (Norway rat)
Lineage: Eukaryota; Metazoa; Chordata; Mammalia; Rodentia; Muridae
Source: RNAcentral
UGCCUUGUCCAUCAGCUUGAUAACACAC